CCUGCCACUUUCACAGUGUACGAAUACCACAGACCAGAUAAACAGUGUACCAUGUUUUAUAGCACUUCCAAUAUCAAAAUUCAGAAAGUCUGUGAAGGAGCCACGUGCAAGUGUGUAGAAGCUGAUUGUGGGCAAAUGCAGGAAGAAUUGGAUCUGACAAUCUCUACAGAGACAAGAAAACAAACAGCAUGUAAACCAGAGAUUGCAUAUGCUUAUAAAGUUAGCAUCACAUCCAUCACUGUAGAAAAUGUUUUUGUCAAGUACAAGGCAACCCUUCUGGAUAUCUACAAAACUGGUGAGAAUUCAUUCGUUCAUUCAUUCCUUCAUUCAGCAACUAUUUAGUACUAUGUGCCAGGCAUUAUAUUAAACACCGAAGAUACAACUCAAAUAAGACAGAGCUCUUGCCUUUUUAAAGCUUAUAUUCUACUUGGGGAGAAACAUUUUUUAAAGAUGUUCGUAUAAAUAUUUCUCAUUGAAUUCAUUUUUCUAAAACUUCAGCAAAAUGUUUUUUUAAAUUGUGUAAUUGUCCAAUUUCUUUUUCUUUACAACUUUUAUUUUAGGUUCAGGGGAUACGUGUGCAAGUUUGCUACAUGGGUAAAUCGCAUGUUUUGGGGG
Molecule: small RNA, 615 nt
Filed under: Pan troglodytes (chimpanzee)
Lineage: Eukaryota; Metazoa; Chordata; Mammalia; Primates; Hominidae
Description: retained intron
Source: RNAcentral